CGGCGUGCUUAACACAUGCAAGUCGAACGAUGAAGCCCAGCUUGCUGGGUGGAUUAGUGGCGAACGGGUGAGUAACACGUGAGUAACCUGCCCUUAACUCUGGGAUAAGCAUGGGAAACUGGGUCUAAUACCGGAUAGGAGCGUCCACCGCAUGGUGGGUGUUGGAAAGAUUUAUCGGUUUUGGAUGGACUCGCGGCCUAUCAGCUUGUUGGUGAGGUAAUGGCUCACCAAGGCGACGACGGGUAGCCGGCCUGAGAGGGUGACCGGCCACACUGGGACUGAGACACGGCCCAGACUCCUACGGGAGGCAGCAGUGGGGAAUAUUGCACAAUGGGCGAAAGCCUGAUGCAGCGACGCCGCGUGAGGGAUGACGGCCUUCGGGUUGUAAACCUCUUUCAGUAGGGAAGAAGCGAAAGUGACGGUACCUGCAGAAGAAGCACCGGCUAACUACGUGCCAGCAGCCGCGGUAAUACGUAGGGUGCGAGCGUUAUCCGGAAUUAUUGGGCGUAAAGAGCUCGUAGGCGGUUUGUCGCGUCUGUCGUGAAAGUCCGGGGCUUAACCCCGGAUCUGCGGUGGGUACGGGCAGACUAGAGUGCAGUAGGGGAGACUGGAAUUCCUGGUGUAGCGGUGGAAUGCGCAGAUAUCAGGAGGAACACCGAUGGCGAAGGCAGGUCUCUGGGCUGUAACUGACGCUGA
RNAcentral lists this ribosomal RNA (696 nucleotides) under Micrococcus luteus. Its description in RNAcentral is "bacterial SSU rRNA". It matches the Rfam family "Bacterial small subunit ribosomal RNA", at positions 40 to 749 of the family's 1533-position model. Lineage: Bacteria; Bacillati; Actinomycetota; Actinomycetes; Micrococcales; Micrococcaceae. The record is from RNAcentral.